Gadus chalcogrammus (walleye pollock) is the source of this 771-nucleotide long non-coding RNA. RefSeq lists it as uncharacterized. The record is from RefSeq and is a predicted model, not a curated record. The transcript has 3 exons. NCBI's taxonomy places the organism in Eukaryota, Metazoa, Chordata, Actinopteri, Gadiformes, Gadidae.
UUGGCGGAGACUGCUGCUGUAAGCGGCGCAUGAAGGGAAGCCGAGUGUUGUACAGCACCGCCCCGUCUGAGACGUCACGUUCACCGGCAAGCCUUACCAGGGUAUGGUGAAGGACGGAAUGCACAGGCGACACACCAAAGCACCAGAAAACACCCUGCCAACAUUGGGGGAGAUUUGGGUAUGGAAGGGGAGAUUUGGAGGUACCUGGUCAGGUCUUGGUCAGCCUUCAAAUCCCAGAUGUGGAGACUGCAGGGAUACCUCACAGAGAAGACACUAAAGAGUCAUCUCUCAUUCAUCGAGUGGACUCAUUGGUUUGCGAAUGACCACAAAGAUGCUCCCAUAGGCAGAUUGCUGCAUGGCAUUCACCGCUUAUUCAAAUUGAAGAGGUUGAAGCAGUCUUCCUUGUGGUCACUUGCCAUAACAAUGUCAUGUGUUUUAUGAAAACACCAUCAGUAACAUUUAAAUUGAGUUGAUGUGGCUUUUUUUUGUGUCAGAUUUCUUCAGUGUUCAGUGCCUGUUUGUGAGAUAUGCAUUGUUUGAAAGAUAAGCCUUUGAUUUUGUUUAAUUUUAAUAUGCCUUUCAUCAACAGUUGUUUGGGGUUUUAUAACAACAAUUAAAGUGCUUAACUACUGGUGAACGAUGUUGCAGAACAUAUAUGGUUUGUGUUGAUUGCAUGGAAAAGGGAAUAACCAGUUACAACUUAUAUGGUAAGAGCCUGGUAAUACCAUGGAAACAAACUAGGCUUCCUUUUACAGUACAGUUUCAGCUUAC